Long non-coding RNA from Cannabis sativa, 2131 nucleotides. RefSeq lists it as uncharacterized. The record is from RefSeq and is a predicted model, not a curated record. NCBI's taxonomy places the organism in Eukaryota, Viridiplantae, Streptophyta, Magnoliopsida, Rosales, Cannabaceae. The transcript has 4 exons.
UUUAGGAUUGUUCUGCUUUCUUUAAUUAAUCUAGGUUUAAAAGGUACUUAAUUUUAUGGUGUUCUUUAGUCUAUUUUUGCAUCAUGUGAUAUGUCCUGUAUUUUUACUCUAAGUUUAAAAGGUACUUAAUUUUGUGGUGUUCUUUAGUCUAUUUUGUGGUGUUCUUUUAAGGUAUAUCUGAAACAAUCUUGAUAUAUUUGAAAAUCUUGAGACUAAAUUUUAUAUUAUGAUUUUCAUGAAGGAGAAAGCAAGACUUGAAGAGUAACAGUGGAGGUGGAGCUCUGCCACAUCCCAAUAGUUCGAUUUAAUCUUGGUGUUGUGAAAGGAGAGAUAGAUAUGAGCAGCUGUUUGUUCACUAGAAGAAAUUACCUAGAGACUUCUCAAUUUAUAGGCACACAUUCAAUUUCAAACUCUUGCCUAAAUUUGCUGGAAGUUUUGGUUUAACUUAGUAUUCUUCUCAAUUCAAGUCACUGUUCAAAAACUUGCAACCGGAGCUCAACUGUAUUCGGUGCCAAAAGUUGGAUUGCUCCCGCGUGUCGAUGAUAAUGGCGUUAUUGUCCCAAGACAUGUUCCCUGAAGUUAUUACCAAAAUUCUGUCUCAUCUAGCUGUAAGCUUGUGUUUUCAAACUGCUAUGUAUUUUGUGAGAAACAAGCUAUCGAAAAACCAUUUGUAUGGCCCAUGUCUUCCAAUUUCGUAGUUGUCUUAUAUGAGUUUUUGUUAGAUUCUUUUGCUUGGCGGGAUUGGAAAAGGUGGGAGAAGGAGAUCCCAAGUCUCAUUUUUUCUUCACAAAACUUACAUUCAAAAUCAAUGCACUGCCAGAACUGUACUUAGUUGUUGUUGAUAUUUAAUUCUUAAAUUAAAUUUCAUUAGUGCCCCUAUAUUGAUACUCUUUUUUGAUGUUUUACACUUUUCUUAUACAGAAAUUUAAUAUGAGCAGUAAGGAUUUGGAUUAUUUCUUUGGAGGCCCUGCAUUCCUAGCAUGGUCUCGUAUGGGAAAUUUUCAUGGGUGAGUUAACGAGUAGCUGAACUAAGUGAACUCAUUUAUAAUUUAUGAUAUAGCGAGUAUAUAAUAAUGUGUAUAUUUUUUUUUAAUAUUCUUAUUAUUUUUUUUAUAGUAUUCAUUGGAUUAGAUUACUUUAGUAAGAAAAAUAAAAACUUUCCAUGAGAAUAAGUACUGGUUAGGAAACUCAUAAAUGCACAUGGUUAUAUUAUGGAUGUGAAGAGCAAGAGUCAUCGAAUAAUGAAUCUUAUCUUAAUCAUCAUAAAAAUAAUAUUAAUAAUUAUUUUUACAGAAAUAUAGGUUGUUUAUCCAAAAAACUACGGAGAAAACAUGGAGAAUUCAAUUGUAUGUAGAUUCAAAACGAACAAUGAGUCUAAAGUACAAUCAAUUCACCAUUCAAGCAGCUGAGCCGAUGGAAGAUUAGGAAGAAGUUUUACUAUACUCUUUUUAGUUUUUCUAAUAAUAUUAUAUAUUAAGACUUUAUUUAAUAAUUUUUUUUCUAUUUUAAGAUCGCACAUUUUUUUAAAUUUUUGUUAAAUAAUAUUUGCUUUAAAUUUUGUCAAACACAUCUAUUGUUUCUUUAAAUUUUCUAUAAGUAAAUAAUAAAUAUUAUUUUCAUAUAUUGUUAUGACUUAUAUAUACACAAUUAUAUUUUACUAACCAAAUAUAAUAACACAACUAUUACUCUAAUAAAACAAUCAUUCACAUAAUCAUUACUUUUAGUUACAACAAUUUAAAUAAAAAUAAAUAACUAAACUUUAAAUAAAAUUAAUAUUUACGUGCCUCGGAACGUAACUUCUACCUAGUAAAUAUUAAAUAUACAUAUAUAUAAAUAUACAAUAAUUUAUCUUUAGUUUGAACUCAUUACUCAUUAAAUACAUUAAUCAUAGUGAUCUUAGGCUUAAGAAAUUUAUUAGCACCCCAAAAAAAUUAAAAUAAGGUUGUUGAGACUUUAUAUUCUAAGUUUUUUGAGGAAACUUUCAACAAAACAAAUUAAUUAAGAAUUUAUUAAAAAAUAAAUAAAAAUCGCAAACAUAUAAAUAUCUCUCUUAUAAUUUUUCGUUUAUUCAAGACAUUAUAAUUUUGCGGCCCAUAAUAUGAUUAAGUGGACUUUCGCUAAAAAUGUUACU